CUUUACGAAUUAGUUUUUUUUUACUUAGUUUCUAGGUGGCGUAAAUGCCUGGCGGUCACGGAUAAGUCCUGUUUUUAGAGAUUUUUUUAGUGCAUUAUCUCUUUCUUUCAUCAGCAUAAAUCAUCUGUCACCCUAGGAAGUAGGAUAAGGACUUUUGCUUCUUCUUGUUUCCUCUCAAAACCAAACAGGAAUGUGAAAAGCCUGGGAAGAAGAGCAGAGAGAGACAGACGAAGAACAACUAAGAUGGAAGAGAACAAUGACAACACAGCUGAUGGAGGCGAAGGAGAAUCUAAAACUAAAUGUUGUUCAUGUUGUUCAUGGUUUCCAUGCUGUGUAUUCUGCUGUACCCCAAGAUACUCUAAAAACAAAACUGAGGAAAGUAUAACCAUCACCAAG
Molecule: long non-coding RNA, 396 nt
Organism: Mugil cephalus (flathead mullet)
Lineage: Eukaryota; Metazoa; Chordata; Actinopteri; Mugiliformes; Mugilidae
Exons: 3
Source: RefSeq, a predicted model, not a curated record